UCGCGAUCCGCCAACCGGUCUAGCCGUGUCGCGGAAGGUUGUCCAACCCAUCGGAGCUCCGGGUACCGGGGCGCAAGGUGAGCG
Non-coding RNA from Sphaerotilus natans subsp. natans DSM 6575, 84 nucleotides. The record is from Rfam. Lineage: Bacteria; Pseudomonadati; Pseudomonadota; Betaproteobacteria; Burkholderiales; Sphaerotilaceae.